Molecule: non-coding RNA, 4461 nt
Organism: Agelaius phoeniceus (red-winged blackbird)
Lineage: Eukaryota; Metazoa; Chordata; Aves; Passeriformes; Icteridae
Source: RefSeq, a predicted model, not a curated record
GAGAGCGCAGCGGCGCGGCGGCGGCGGGAGGCGGAGCCGCCCUGCAGACGGAAGGAAGCGCCGGCGGGGUUUGUGCCCGGCAGAGCCUUACGGAGCGUGUCGUGGGGCCGGUGUUGCGCAAUAGUGCCACAGUGGCCGUGACUGAAGAGGCGGCGCUGAUACCUGUCAGGUAUCAUGCGAUUUCAUUGAAUGACGUUCAGAGAGGAUAAUAUGCAAAGAGUACUGCCUGAGCAAGAAACUGUCUCUGUUGCCUGGUGUUUUGCAUUGCCCCUUUGAUGAAAAACAAAAGGAAAAGCUGCUGUUUUAAAAAAAAAAAGUUGAAUGAGAAAGUGUUUUUACCUUUAGGAGGUAUGUUAGGCCCCGUGAAUCUGCAGAGACUUCAGCACUUACUGCUAGACCUUGAUGCAGAAGGUACAAGGUUGAUCUUUGCUGUUUAUAGCUUAGUUUUCAUUUUUAUUUAAUCUUUUACUCACGGUACGUGGUCUCUAUCGCGCCAAUGGUGUCUUUUCUAUCGCCUAUACUGGGACUAGUAAAUGCUUUAGUUGGGUGUGGGGAAAUAGCUUUGUUAUUCCAGGUCAUGUCGAUUGGGCUAGAGUUUGGCAUCAAGACGAUCUGGUAUUAGCAGACAUUUUUCAGGUGUAAGCUGAAUGCUAUGGCUUAAGCUACGUCUUGGUAGCCUAAGUGCACCUUCCGGUGCACCCUUAUUUUGUUACGACUUACCUCAUCUUUGCCUGGAUAACUUAUUAGUUUAUUGGGGGGGGGGGUUGCGAGGAGGGUGCCGGGCGGUAUGUACAUGCCCCAGGGCUGGCCUAAAGAGGGCUGUCCCUCUUGAUUGUCCCACUUUACUGCUAAAUCCACCUUUCAGGGGUUAUUUCAUACCCCUUUGCCAUUAUGUUCUAACUUAGAAAAUGUAGCCUAUUGCUGCCAUUCCAUAGGCUAUACCUUGACCUGUCUUUUUAGCGUGGUGGGGCUAUUGCGCUCAUUGUUGGGCUUUCAGGGGAGGUGGGCUGGCGACGGCGUUAUGUAGGCUGUUUUGACAAGGAAUGGUCAGGUAUAUCGUGUAUCAUCGAUUACAGAACAGGCUCCUCUAGGUGGGUUUGGGGCAUCGCCAAGUCCUUAGAGUUUUAAGCAUUGGUGCUCAUCAUUCUCAGGCGGAUGCUUUAGUGGGUGUAAGCUUCAAGAUUUAGGGCCAGGCAUAGUGGGGUAUCUAAUCCCAGUUUGGGCCCUGGCUUUCGUGGAGUUCAAUUAAUCGUUGUUCUAAGAUCUUCUUUGAUGGGGAGGCCUUAUUGGCAUCUUGGGCUUGUGACAGCUUAGUUGCUUUUUAAUCUUAGCUACUUGGAUAGCAUGUGACCACUCUUUACGCCAUUAUAAAGUUAAUUUGGGUCUCCUGUAUGACCGUGGUGGCUGGCACAGGAUUUACCAACCCUAGAUUUGCUAUGGCUAAGUCAAGUUUACACUCAUUGCUCAAUAUUAACUACUGCUGAGUACCCGUGGGGGUGUGGCAACUGCAAGGCGUUUUGGGCUACGGUUGUGGUGAGCCUGAUACCCGCUCCUGUCUACCUAAUUAAGGUGUCCAGGGCACCUACACUGGAGCAUGGAUACUUGCAUGUAUAUACCUAGCAAAAACUAACAGUAAGGUUAGGAUUAAGUAUUUUGUCCUCGGGUGUGUGUGGCAGCCAUCUUGACAUCUUCAGUGUCAUGCUUUCUAUAAGCUACAAGGAUGUAAAAUUUGGUGGGUAGUUGGUUGAUGGUUUGUCAUCAUGGUUUGUAUUUUUUUUUGGUUUUUGGAGAGGGGCCAGUUUUGGGGUUAAUUCUGUUUGUUUGGGGGUGGUUGGGGAGUGAUGAUGGUGGCUGGUUGUCAUUUUUGACAGUAGGAAAUAGAGAGGAAGAUUAAUUGAAAGUAUAUUGAUGGCAAGUGGUUUGGACAAUGUAGAGAUAAAUGGUUUAGUUAUUUGACAAAAAAAAAAUGUCAAGAUAAAAAAAAUAGAUGCAUAAAAUGGAAUUUAAAUGUUAAUUCCUAGUAAAUGAUAAAAUAAUUAAUAUGUCCGGCAAGCAUUACACCAUCUGUUGUGUAGAGGUAGGUACCGCGCCCUCCAUGAAUGGGGUCAAGUGCAUCAGUGCUAAGUUUGGGACGACCUUAUCCGUCAGACCAUGACGUUCUGGGUGUUAGGGGAUUCAUAUGCUCGACAGUCAUGUGAUGGACAUGUCAAGAGGAAGAUAACAGCUGCUGUGCACUUGAAGGGCUUAUUGAAGAGACGCUAAAAGAAAACAAGUGUAGGAGGUCGGUAUGCCAAGGUAUUGAACUUAGGAAGGAGUAUUCAACCGACCACUUGUAUCUGUGAAGAGCAAGGAGGAGGGAAUGGGGCAAGUUAUAGUCCUGAAGUUACAACCAAUAGUGCAAAAGAGCAAGUAUAGGAGAGGUAUGUGCUUGCAGGGCAAUAACCUAAAGUAUAUAUGACGUUGAGUAACCAUAGCUCGGUUCUCGUGAGAAGCGCGACCAAUAGAUAACCAUGUCCUCUGGCUUGGGAGCGCUUGAAAGCUGUUGGUCAGGAAUAUUACCUAGGAGGUGGGCAAAUCCUGUAGACUAGGGGAAUUCAAAGGUGUACUGGGACAUUCCUCAUUCACAAGGUUGGGUGUUGUGCAUAGUAGAUAAGGUCCUGGGUCUUUGAGUAAUGCUUGUGGCUUGGCUGCAAUUAAGAUACAAAAUUACUGGAAUCAGCUCUUGUUGUACAGUUCAUGAAAAAAACCUUUCCUAAGAAAAUUGUGAUAAGAACGAAUGGUUGUAAUACUAGAUUGUGUUGCCCUAGCAGAAAGGGAACAGAUUGCAUCUCCAUCCAUGUUUCAGCUGUGUCAAAAGGAAAUUUAAGUAUUUAGACUGUAUUUUGGGGAAGGGGCAAUAAAAGAUAACAAAGAGGGGUCAUAAUUAAACUCCCACGUCUGAUCACAAAAAGUAGGCUUGAGGUUUUCUCAGAGCUGUGGCAUCUGACAUCCGCAGAUUCCUAGGUUAGGGCAAUUGACUAAGUCUUUGAUUGAGACAACUGACAACUUCAAGAAUAGCUAGUGGAGAGGUAAUGCAGAAAUUAGGACCUCACAAGAGAUCGAUUGCAACUAAUUCAGUUGCAGCAGGAGCACCAGCUUGUAUUAACUCCGUGGCAGCAGCAGGAGGAACCCAGAAUUCUAACACCACAACAGACACAUAGAUAUCACAUCUUAACACCUUUAAUUCAAAAUCUAAUAGCAGAACCUAAUGAUGGAGAAAAACAUCACCAGUGUGAACAAAUGAUACCCAUUCCAAGUAAAGCAGAAUAUCAAUUCUGACAAAGAAUAUUUAGUCACUCUGGCUAGAUGGUUUCAUGAUAAAUCCUAUCGAGGGACACGGGCAAUAUUUAUCCAAGUACAAAAAAUAUGGCCAGCAAUAGCCACCACAGGAAUUUAGCUCCAGGAAUUUAUGCCACCACAAAAGAGAAUCACAAAUGGCUGCCUGACUUGACAUGAGUUUUCAGGCAGCAGACUGAGUUCACAAUUAGGAGAAUGACCAUGGACUGAUUUCCAUUCUCAGGGAAUGCAAAGAGACCUUGCAGACAUACCACCUGUGGCUGGGUGGUAGUCAACCAGCUGUAAGGCUGGGCAGAAGCCUUUUUUUCCAACAAAAAAGACUUAUUCAGGAGGAAUAAUAGAAGCCUUCUUAAAGAAAUCAGUGCUCAUUUUAUAGCAAAUAUGAUACCAAAAUUUUCCAGAUAGAAACUUUCUACAAGAGUUCUGAGUAUUAGAAAGCAGGCAUUCUUUAUUGAAGCAUGCUGAUCACUUGGAGGACCCUUUCUCUAAUUAAUUGCCCUGAGUGUUGCAUACCCACUGAUUUACAUAAUCGUUAGCUAUCCCCACUUACUUGAUGUGUAUGUUUUACUUUAUUUUACAUUCUCACACCCCUUAUCAGAAGUCCUUAUAUGGUUCUUUGGGGGUCGUUUUCCAUGGUCUUCAGCAUCUGGUGUCCUUUUUAGGUAGCUGCUCCUUGACCCCCACUUUUGAGUAAGCACAAUAUUCUUUAUAACUCCUGUUUUGUCAGCCUUGCAGAGCUUAGCUGGCAUCCUACUUGUCUUCCAGGACUUCUGUUUGAUUAAGUUACAUCCUAUUUUUAUUUUUCCAAGGCUAUACUGUUCUGUUCUACUGUCCUUAUCAAAUACAAUCAAUCAGCUUGCUAACAACACCAAGGUCACAUACACAUUCAUGUAUUCUCACACAAUCCCCAUAUGAAUCAUUUAUUUAAAGAGUUGGCCUCAAUGAUCAUUGUAGGUCCCUCAGAAUAUUUUCUGUGUGAACUUAUGUCCCAGUUAAGGCCUGUUAGAUGGUGAUGAAUGCUUGACUUAGUAUGUUAACAAGUAGAGAAGGAUCAGUCUCUUGAUCAGUAACUGACUUUUGAGGAUCCUUUGUGGUUUCAUAUCAAUAAACAUUUUUGUCCUAUGA